This 252-nucleotide ribosomal RNA is filed under the name uncultured bacterium. RNAcentral describes it as "partial 16S ribosomal RNA". It matches the Rfam family "Bacterial small subunit ribosomal RNA", at positions 524 to 776 of the family's 1533-position model. The record is from RNAcentral.
UACGUAGGCAGCGAGCGUUGUUCGGAAUUACUGGGCGUAAAGAGUGUGUAGGCGGUGCUCUAAGUUCGGUGUGAAAUCUCCUGCUUAACUGGGAGGGUGCGCCGAAAACUGGAGUGCUCGAGCGUGGGAGAGGAAAGCGGAAUUCCUGGUGUAGCGGUGGAAAUGCGUAGAUAUCAGGAGGAAUACCGAUGCGAAGGCAGGUCUCUGGGCUGACACUGACGCUCAUGCACGAAAGCGUGGGGAGCAAACAGG